UCCCUGCCUGGGUGCCCAAACUUUUCUCCCCGGGGCAAAAAGGAACAGAAAUACCUUCUUGAGUAUUGUGCUACUACAACCGACUCAUCUAAGGACAUCUCCCCUUUCCCAAAGAAAGCAUGACUUGGAAUAGCAAGGUAUUUCAGAGAGUUGCUCUCAAAUUCUUCUAUCUCCUUGGUCGGGGACUCCAUAGCUGCAGGUUAUCACUGGCGCUGAAGCUGAGAGAGUUUGGGCUCUCCCCUCCCCGCCUCCUCGCCGGCUCGGCCAGCGAUCCCCAGCCCGGCGCGUCUGCCUGUCACUUUCUCCGCGCGUUCCCCCUCCUGCGCCCCCAGACUCGGACUCAGAGCGCGCUCGGAUGGCGGGCGACCGCGGCCCCAGGUGCGCCCCGGAGACAGCUGCGGGAACCAGCCAUGGGAUUGCGCUCCGGCUCCUAAGAGAAAGCACCUCGGGUCAUCUGGAGAGAGGAAAAGGAAUUGCUGAAAAGAGAGAUGAAUAGUGCUGAAUUCAUAUUUUACCGCAUCAUAGUUUCUCUAAGGACUGGCCUGGUAUAAAAAGAACAAGAGAAUGAGAAAGGAUGAUAU
Long non-coding RNA from Lemur catta (Ring-tailed lemur), 581 nucleotides. RefSeq lists it as uncharacterized. The record is from RefSeq and is a predicted model, not a curated record. The transcript has 3 exons. Lineage: Eukaryota; Metazoa; Chordata; Mammalia; Primates; Lemuridae.